This 273-nucleotide long non-coding RNA is filed under the name Selaginella moellendorffii. RNAcentral describes it as "long non-coding RNA (SMOE_LNC001705)". The record is from RNAcentral. Lineage: Eukaryota; Viridiplantae; Streptophyta; Lycopodiopsida; Selaginellales; Selaginellaceae.
GCGACUCGAACGUCCGACCGUUGGGAUUUUAGGGCAAGGAGCGCGCCAGGGCAAAGUGUUCUUCGCCAUGGCGGCGGCGGUCGCCAUGCAUUCGGCGCUCACCAGCAGCAGCGGCGGCGGCGGCGGCGGCGUCACGGCCAGAUCCGCGUCUCACAGGUUCGCAAGGCAGCAGAAUUUGAUCCUGGGCAGCCGCAGCGCAGUGCCUAGAUCCAGGGAUCGCCGAUCGACGCCAGUAGUCUCCACAUCCAGGACGACGACCGUGAUCCCCACNNN